This 330-nucleotide long non-coding RNA is filed under the name Dromaius novaehollandiae (emu). RNAcentral describes it as "lncRNA (ENSDNVG00000016791.1)". The record is from RNAcentral. Lineage: Eukaryota; Metazoa; Chordata; Aves; Casuariiformes; Dromaiidae.
GUGCUGGCAGACAGGUUGCAUGGGUUUUUACAGGUAACUACAGGGCCAGGACUGGAGCAGACAGCAGACCUGGCUGGGCCUGGGGUCUCCUGCUAAGGACUGAGGCAUUGAACCUUACGCGUCGGGAUUAGCCCAUGCAUCUUUGGACUUCAUUUGGCCUUUGGAGUGCCACCUUACUAGGUGCUUUGACAAUUCUGUGAGAAUAUGAAGUUGAGAGUUGCAGCUAAUUAUUUGAAGGUGGAUGGACCUGGGAGAGGCAGUUUCAGAGAAAAGCAAAAAGGAAAGUCCAGGCUCUGCAAACCAAAGUUUCAGAAGCUGUGGCUUGUCUGA